RNAcentral lists this non-coding RNA (157 nucleotides) under Brevibacillus sp. RNAcentral's name for it is "FMN sequence". It matches the Rfam family "FMN riboswitch aptamer (RFN element)". From Rfam's summary of the family: The RFN element is a highly conserved domain that is found frequently in the 5'-untranslated regions of prokaryotic mRNAs that encode for flavin mononucleotide (FMN) biosynthesis and transport proteins. Lineage: Bacteria; Bacillati; Bacillota; Bacilli; Caryophanales; Paenibacillaceae. The record is from RNAcentral.
CAAUUCCUUCGGGGCAGGGUGCAAUUCCCGACCGGCGGUGAUCGUGUCACGAGCACGUUAAGCCCGCGAGCCUCCCCAGCUUGUCAGCAAGCGACGGAGUGCAGGAUCUGGUGAGAUUCCAGAGCCGACAGUACAGUCUGGAUGGGAGAAGGAUGAC